AAUUUUGUUUUUAGAUUAAGGUACCGUUUGGUUCGGGUAUAAACAAGAACUAGCUAUUAUAGGGAUAGGUACAAGUAUGGGGAUAAGAAAAAUAGCGUUUGGAUGAAAAUUGGGUUGUUCCCGAGGAUAAGAAAAAUAUUAGAAAGUUUUAUAUAAAAAAUAGAGGUGUUGGUGGGGAUAACCGAGAACUACUAUUCUCGGGUAAAAAAUUAGCGUUUGGGUAUAAAGGGGGGGAUAAGGGCCUAUCCCUAUCCCUAUUCCCAAACCAAACGGUGCCUAAAAGUCUCUUGACCGCUUCUAUUAUUUUUAAAGAUUAAUUUCACCCAGAUCCCUAUAAAUACAGUGAUUGACAAAUAUAUUCUUAUAAAGUUCAACUUUCAUAUAUUGUCCCAAUAAAAGUUCUAAUAUUUUUAUAUAUAUCUUUCUGUUUUGUUACCGUUAGAGAACUGUUUAUAUUUUUUAUUUCACCAUCACAAAUAUAUCCCUCCAAAAUUCAUAACAGUAUAAUAUAAGAGAGAUAAAAAUAUCAAAAACUAACCAGAAUUAAAUAUUUAACUUAUAGUUAACUAAAUUUUUUUAUUAGAUUCUAACGAUAGAGACAUAUUUGAAAACAUCAGGAUUUUUGCAGGAACUUAUAUGAAAUUAG
Molecule: long non-coding RNA, 646 nt
Filed under: Ananas comosus (pineapple)
Lineage: Eukaryota; Viridiplantae; Streptophyta; Magnoliopsida; Poales; Bromeliaceae
Description: long non-coding RNA (ACOM_LNC032323)
Source: RNAcentral